RNAcentral lists this ribosomal RNA (449 nucleotides) under uncultured bacterium. Its description in RNAcentral is "partial 16S ribosomal RNA". It matches the Rfam family "Bacterial small subunit ribosomal RNA", at positions 338 to 795 of the family's 1533-position model. The record is from RNAcentral.
CCUACGGGUGGCUGCAGUGAGGAAUAUUGGUCAAUGGGCGAGAGCCUGAACCAGCCAUGCCGCGUGCAGGAAGACGGCCCUACGGGUUGUAAACUGCUUUUGUUUGGGAAGAAAAGGCGCUACGUGUAGUGCACUGACGGUACCAGAUGAAUAAGCAUCGGCUAACUCCGUGCCAGCAGCCGCGGUAAUACGGAGGAUGCGAGCGUUAUCCGGAUUUAUUGGGUUUAGGGGGAAGGUAGGCGGAGUGCUAAAAGCCCCCAGCUUAACUGGGGAACUGCCAUAGAUACUGGUUUUCUUGAGUACAGUUGAAGUAGGCGGAAUGUGUAAUGUAGCGGUGAAAUGCUUAGAUAUUACACAGAACACCGAUUGCGAAGGCAGCUUGCUAAGCUGUUACUGACGCUGAUGCACGAAAGCGUGGGGAGCGAACAGGAUUAGAUACCCCUGUAGUC